This 357-nucleotide ribosomal RNA is filed under the name Geobacillus stearothermophilus. Its description in RNAcentral is "bacterial SSU rRNA". It matches the Rfam family "Bacterial small subunit ribosomal RNA", at positions 1118 to 1477 of the family's 1533-position model. The record is from RNAcentral. Lineage: Bacteria; Bacillati; Bacillota; Bacilli; Caryophanales; Anoxybacillaceae.
CCAGCAUUUAGUUGGGCACUCUAAGGUGACUGCCGGUGACAAACCGGAGGAAGGUGGGGAUGACGUCAAAUCAUCAUGCCCCUUAUGACCUGGGCUACACACGUGCUACAAUGGAUGGUACAAAGGGCUGCAAGACCGCGAGGUCAAGCCAAUCCCAUAAAACCAUUCUCAGUUCGGAUUGUAGGCUGCAACUCGCCUACAUGAAGCUGGAAUCGCUAGUAAUCGCGGAUCAGCAUGCCGCGGUGAAUACGUUCCCGGGCCUUGUACACACCGCCCGUCACACCACGAGAGUUUGUAACACCCGAAGUCGGUGGGGUAACCUUUAUGGAGCCAGCCGCCUAAGGUGACAGAAGAAGG